RNAcentral lists this ribosomal RNA (653 nucleotides) under uncultured Cryobacterium sp. RNAcentral describes it as "bacterial SSU rRNA". It matches the Rfam family "Bacterial small subunit ribosomal RNA", at positions 95 to 749 of the family's 1533-position model. The record is from RNAcentral. Lineage: Bacteria; Bacillati; Actinomycetota; Actinomycetes; Micrococcales; Microbacteriaceae.
GUGGCGAACGGGUGAGUAACACGUGAGCAAUCUGCCCUUGACUCUGGGAUAACUGCGGGAAACUGUAGCUAAUACCGGAUAUUACCUUGGAAGGCAUCUUCUGGGGUGGAAAGAAUUUUGGUCAAGGAUGAGCUCGCGGCCUAUCAGCUAGUUGGUGAGGUAAUGGCUCACCAAGGCGACGACGGGUAGCCGGCCUGAGAGGGUGACCGGCCACACUGGGACUGAGACACGGCCCAGACUCCUACGGGAGGCAGCAGUGGGGAAUAUUGCACAAUGGGCGCAAGCCUGAUGCAGCAACGCCGCGUGAGGGACGACGGCCUUCGGGUUGUAAACCUCUUUUAGUAGGGAAGAAGCGACUGGGUUUUCCUGGGAGUGACGGUACCUGCAGAAAAAGCACCGGCUAACUACGUGCCAGCAGCCGCGGUAAUACGUAGGGUGCAAGCGUUGUCCGGAAUUAUUGGGCGUAAAGAGCUCGUAGGCGGUUUGUCGCGUCUGCUGUGAAAACCCGAGGCUCAACCUCGGGCCUGCAGUGGGUACGGGCAGACUAGAGUGCGGUAGGGGAGAUUGGAAUUCCUGGUGUAGCGGUGGAAUGCGCAGAUAUCAGGAGGAACACCAAUGGCGAAGGCAGAUCUCUGGGCCGUAACUGACGCUGA